UAGUGGCGGACGGGUGAGUAACGCGUGGGUAACCUACCCUGUACAGGGGGAUAACAGUCAGAAAUGACUGCUAAUACCGCAUAAGACCACAGCACCGCAUGGUGCAGGGGUAAAAACUCCGGUGGUACAGGAUGGACCCGCGUCUGAUUAGCUGGUUGGUGAGGUAACGGCUCACCAAGGCGACGAUCAGUAGCCGGCUUGAGAGAGUGAACGGCCACAUUGGGACUGAGACACGGCCCAAACUCCUACGGGAGGCAGCAUG
This 262-nucleotide ribosomal RNA is filed under the name uncultured bacterium. Its description in RNAcentral is "partial 16S ribosomal RNA". It matches the Rfam family "Bacterial small subunit ribosomal RNA", at positions 93 to 353 of the family's 1533-position model. The record is from RNAcentral.